GACGAACGCUGGCGGCGUGCUUAACACAUGCAAGUCGAACGGAAAGGCCCUGCUUUUGUGGGGUGCUCGAGUGGCGAACGGGUGAGUAACACGUGAGUAACCUGCCCUUGACUUUGGGAUAACUUCAGGAAACUGGGGCUAAUACCGGAUUGGAGCUCCUGCUGCAUGGUGGGGGUUGGAAAGUUUCGGCGGUUGGGGAUGGACUCGCGGCUUAUCAGCUUGUUGGUGGGGUAGUGGCUUACCAAGGCUUUGACGGGUAGCCGGCCUGAGAGGGUGACCGGCCACAUUGGGACUGAGAUACGGCGCAGACUCCUACGGGAGGCAGCAGUGGGGAAUAUUGCACAAUGGGCGGAAGCCUGAUGCAGCAACGCCGCGUGCGGGAUGACGGCCUUCGGGUUGUAAACCGCUUUCGCCUGUGACGAAGCGUGAGUGACGGUAAUGGGUAAAGAAGCACCGGCUAACUACGUG
This 468-nucleotide ribosomal RNA is filed under the name uncultured bacterium. RNAcentral describes it as "partial 16S ribosomal RNA". It matches the Rfam family "Bacterial small subunit ribosomal RNA", at positions 28 to 507 of the family's 1533-position model. The record is from RNAcentral.